AUACGGGGCUUAAAGUCUUGUAAUUGGAAUGAUGGGAAUCUAAACCCCUUCCAGAGUAUCAAUUGGAGGGCAAGUCUGGUGCCAGCAGCCGCGGUAAUUCCAGCUCCAAUAGCGUAUAUUAAACUUGUUGCAGUUAAAAAGCUCGUAGUUGAACUUCUGCUGUCAGGUUUUCGUUCCUUUCGGGGUUUCGUCAACCUGGUGGCUUUUUUCUGGGUGAAUUUAGCUUCGGCUUAAUUUCCCAGUAUUUUACUUUGAGAAAAUUAGAGUGCUUCAAGCAGGCUUUUGCCGUGAAUACUUCAGCAUGGAAUAAUAAAGUAGGACUUUGGUUCUAUUUUUGUUGGA
This 342-nucleotide ribosomal RNA is filed under the name Babesia vesperuginis. RNAcentral describes it as "SSU rRNA". It matches the Rfam family "Eukaryotic small subunit ribosomal RNA", at positions 483 to 849 of the family's 1831-position model. The record is from RNAcentral. Lineage: Eukaryota; Apicomplexa; Aconoidasida; Piroplasmida; Babesiidae.